This 253-nucleotide ribosomal RNA is filed under the name uncultured bacterium. Its description in RNAcentral is "partial 16S ribosomal RNA". It matches the Rfam family "Bacterial small subunit ribosomal RNA", at positions 524 to 776 of the family's 1533-position model. The record is from RNAcentral.
UACGAAGGGGGCUAGCGUUGUUCGGAAUUACUGGGCGUAAAGCGCAUGUAGGCGGAUAUUUAAGUCAGGGGUGAUAUCCCGCAGCUCAACUGCGGAACUGCCUUUGAUACUGGGUAUCUUGAGUAUGGAAGAGGUGAGUGGAAUUCCGAGUGUAGAGGUGAAAUUCGUAGAUAUUCGGAGGAACACCAGUGGCGAAGGCGGCUCACUGGUCCAUUACUGACGCUGAGGUGCGAAAGCGUGGGGAGCAAACAGG